This 1078-nucleotide ribosomal RNA is filed under the name Agaricus campestris. RNAcentral describes it as "eukaryotic LSU rRNA". It matches the Rfam family "Eukaryotic large subunit ribosomal RNA", at positions 69 to 1137 of the family's 3401-position model. Lineage: Eukaryota; Fungi; Basidiomycota; Agaricomycetes; Agaricales; Agaricaceae. The record is from RNAcentral.
CAAGGAUUCCCCUAGUAACUGCGAGUGAAGCGGGAAAAGCUCAAAUUUAAAAUCUGGCGGUCUCUGGCCGUCCGAGUUGUAAUCUAGAGAAGUAAUGCCCGUGCUGGACCGUGUAUAAGUCUCCUGGGAUGGAGCGUCAUAGAGGGUGAGAAUCCCGUCUUUGACACGGACUACCAGUGCAUUGUGGUAUGCUCUCAAAGAGUCGAGUUGUUUGGGAAUGCAGCUCAAAAUGGGUGGUAAAUUCCAUCUAAAGCUAAAUAUUGGCGAGAGACCGAUAGCGAACAAGUACCGUGAGGGAAAGAUGAAAAGAACUUUGGAAAGAGAGUUAAACAGUACGUGAAAUUGCUGAAAGGGAAACGCUUGAAGUCAGUCGCGUUGGCCAGGGAUCAGCCUUGCUUUUGCAUGGUGUACUUUCUGGUUGACGGGUCAGCAUCAAUUUUGACCGCUGGAAAAGGGCCUGGGGAAUGUGGCAGCUUCGGCUGUGUUAUAGCCCCUGGUCGCAUACAGYGGUUGGGAUUGAGGAACUCAGCACGCCGCAAGGCCGGGUUUCGACCACGUUCGUGCUUAGGAUGCUGGCAUAAUGGCUUUAAGCGACCCGUCUUGAAACACGGACCAAGGAGUCUAACAUGCCUGCGAGUAUUUGGGUGGAAAACCCAAGUGCGUAAUGAAAGUGAAAGUUGAGAUCCCUGUCGUGGGGAGCAUCGACGCCCGGACCAGAACUUUUGGGACGGAUCCGCGGUGGAGCAUGUAUGUUGGGACCCGAAAGAUGGUGAACUAUGCCUGAAUAGGGUGAAGCCAGAGGAAACUCUGGUGGAGGCUCGUAGCGAUUCUGACGUGCAAAUCGAUCGUCAAAUUUGGGUAUAGGGGCGAAAGACUAAUCGAACCAUCUAGUAGCUGGUUCCUGCCGAAGUUUCCCUCAGGAUAGCAGAAACUCAUAUCAGAUUUAUGUGGUAAAGCGAAUGAUUAGAGGCCUUGGGGUUGAAACAACCUUAACCUAUUCUCAAACUUUAAAUAUGUAAGAACGAGCCGUUUCUUGAUUGAACCGCUCGGCGAUUGAGAGUUUCUAGUGGGCCAUUUU